UACGAAGGGGGCGAGCGUUGUUCGGAUUUAUUGGGCGUAAAGAGCGUGUAGGCGGCCAGAUAGGUCCGUUGUGAAAACUGGAGGCUUAACCUCCAGCUGUCGAUGGAAACCAUCUGGCUAGAGUCCGGAAGAGGAGAGUGUAAUUCCUGGUGUAGCGGUGAAAUGCGCAGAUAUCAGGAAGAACACCCGUGGCGAAGGCGGCUCUCUGGGACGGUACUGACGCUGAGACGCGAAAGCGUGGGGAGCGAACAGG
This 253-nucleotide ribosomal RNA is filed under the name uncultured bacterium. RNAcentral describes it as "partial 16S ribosomal RNA". It matches the Rfam family "Bacterial small subunit ribosomal RNA", at positions 524 to 776 of the family's 1533-position model. The record is from RNAcentral.